ACGCUCGACACCUACGGGGCAGCAGUGAGGGAUAUUGGUCAAUGGGGGAAACCCUGAACCAGCAACGCCGCGUGAGGGAUGACGGCCUGGUUGUAACUCUGUCCUCUGUGAAGAUAAUGACGGUAGCAGAGGAGGAAGCUCCGGCUAACUACGUGCCAGCAGCCGCGGUAAUCUGAGCGGGCUGGCAAGGC
Molecule: ribosomal RNA, 191 nt
Filed under: uncultured bacterium
Lineage: Bacteria
Description: partial 16S ribosomal RNA
Rfam family: Bacterial small subunit ribosomal RNA
Source: RNAcentral